RNAcentral lists this small RNA (125 nucleotides) under Marmota monax (woodchuck). Lineage: Eukaryota; Metazoa; Chordata; Mammalia; Rodentia; Sciuridae. The record is from RNAcentral.
GCCAGGCGUGGUGGUGCAUGCCUAUAAUCCCAGCAACUUGGGAGGCUAAGGCAGGAGGAUCGUGAGUUCAAAGCCAGCCUCAGCAAAAGCGAGGCACUAAGUAACUCAGUGAGACCCUGUCUCUA